CCUACGGGAGGCAGCAGUGGGGAAUAUUGCACAAUGGGGGAAACUCUGAUGCAGCGACGCCGCGUGAGCGAUGAAGUCUUUCUGUAUGUAAAGCUCUAUCAGCAGGGAAGAAAAUGACGGUACCUGACUAAGAAGCCCCGGCUAACUACGUGCCAGCAGCCGCGGUAAUACGGAGGGGGCAAGAGUUAUCCGGAUUUACUGGGUGUAAAGGGGGCGGAGACGGUUGUGCAAGCCAGAUGUGAAAGCCCGGGGCUCAACCCCGGAACUGCAUUUGGAACUGUGUGGCUGGAGUGUCGGAGAGGCAGGCGGAAUGCCUAGUGUAGCGGUGAAAUGCGUAGAUAUUAGGAGGAACACCAGUGGCGAAGGCGGCCUGCUGGACGAUGACUGACGUUGAGGCUCGAAAGCGUGGGGAGCAAACAGGAUUAGAUACCCGGGUAGUC
Molecule: ribosomal RNA, 440 nt
Filed under: uncultured bacterium
Lineage: Bacteria
Description: partial 16S ribosomal RNA
Rfam family: Bacterial small subunit ribosomal RNA
Source: RNAcentral